UGCCAUGUGUUGGUGACUGUGUGGUUAUUGCUGAGGAUGAUGGACUUUGGGACACCGACGCCUGCACAGACACCAACGUAUAUGUUUGCAUCAAGGACGUGCACCGCACCCACCACUAACCACUCAUCUUACCGUGCUGUCUUCUAUCACAAUGGAGUUUGCUAAUCAUGAUGACUCACUGAGACAGCAUCAAACCUUUGCGGUGUCUUUAUUUGUUGAUGGGUUGACUACAAAUUUCUCUUUUUCUCACAACACUCACCUGUGAUUGACAACACAUUGGCAAUGUCAAAGAGCAUCUCUCUGUUCAAUAAAGGAAUCUAUCUGCA
Hippocampus comes (tiger tail seahorse) is the source of this 326-nucleotide long non-coding RNA. RefSeq lists it as uncharacterized. The transcript is spliced from 2 exons. Lineage: Eukaryota; Metazoa; Chordata; Actinopteri; Syngnathiformes; Syngnathidae. The record is from RefSeq and is a predicted model, not a curated record.